Molecule: ribosomal RNA, 109 nt
Filed under: Echeneis naucrates (live sharksucker)
Lineage: Eukaryota; Metazoa; Chordata; Actinopteri; Carangiformes; Echeneidae
Source: RNAcentral
GCUUACGGCCACACCAUCCUGAACACGCCUCAUCGCGGAAGCUAAGCAGGGUCAGGCCUGGUUAGUACUUGGAUGGGAGACCGCCUGGGAAUACCAGGUGCUGCAAGCU